GGAGGACUUGGGCUUAGCUCCAGUACCAGGAGAGGAGACCGAGGUCUCCAGGCUAUGGGGCACCAGAGCAGGCUGAAGAAGAGCACAGACUCCUGGAAGGGGAGACGUUCAGUGUGAACUGCUCCUACAAGUCCCAGGAAGAUAAACAUAGAUGGAUGUCUUGGUGUAAAAAGCAAGAGAAUGGAGAGUACUGUGUUGUACCACCCUUAGAAAAAAGCCCCAAGGUUUCCCUGUCAGACAAUGAAUACUUCUCCUCUUCAUGACAAUAGUAGCAUCAUCACUAUCACUAUCACAAAGUUGAGGCUCACAGUAAAGGAUUCAGGUGUCUGUGAGUGUGUGAUCCUUGAAGAAUCUCCUAAGACAGUCCCUGAAGAAUUUCCUAAGAGUGAAAAAGCCAUCCUCAGGAGAUUUCACCUGGUGGUGUCCUCAGUUGAAACACAGAGCCCCACGAAAGGGAUACAAACUACUACGGAGGUCAUUUCCAACAAUCCGGCCACCAACAACAGUUCCUCAGAAAAGAAAUUAAGCAUUUUGGGUGUGGUUCUUUCUUGCCUGCUCCUAUUGGUGCUCCUUGUUGUGGGCAUCAUUUGUACCAGGAGGAUCUACCAGAAAGCCAGGAAAGAGCUCUGCAAUGAAGAUGGACAGUGAUGAGAAUGCUGAGGACAUCCAUUAUGCCACAGUGUCCAACAGAAGCCCCAGAGAGCUGAUCAAUACCAAAACUCAUACUCCUGCUGAAGCUGUGGAAUAUGCUACCAUAACAAGGAACUGAUGGCAGCUGCCCAAAUCAAAUGCUCCUCAGAAUCCAAUGUGGAAGGACUAGGAGAGUUCACUACCAGCAAUGUUGGUGAAUCAUGUCUCCUCCAGCAAAGAAGUGAUAGAACAAAAAUGUAUGGAAAUGAGAAAUAUGUUAUUAGACAAGGACCAUGUAUAGAUUUGUUUUGCUUAGCUAUAUUUCUUUGUUGGGAGGAAGAGUUUUAUAGGAUUUUUUUUUGAGGGGGGUAGUAAGAAGUGGUAGCAUUCUAAAAAAGCCCAGUAUGAAUAAAACAUCUUUUUUAUGUAUUAAGCA
Molecule: long non-coding RNA, 1066 nt
Filed under: Phascolarctos cinereus (koala)
Lineage: Eukaryota; Metazoa; Chordata; Mammalia; Diprotodontia; Phascolarctidae
Description: lncRNA (ENSPCIG00000032481.1)
Source: RNAcentral